Molecule: long non-coding RNA, 615 nt
Organism: Leptopilina boulardi
Lineage: Eukaryota; Metazoa; Arthropoda; Insecta; Hymenoptera; Figitidae
Exons: 2
Source: RefSeq, a predicted model, not a curated record
UUUCCUUCUUUUGAAAUUGCAUUCGUUUUUAUGAAAGUAUAGAAAAAUAUUAAAUAAUGCAUUAUUGUGAUAAAGGAGACAUGGCAAUAUCGAACGCUAUAGAAUUACAAAUGCUUUAUAAAUCGAAUUAUUUUUUUAAGGGGGGAACACCAGUUGUAACUUUCGAAAAAUCAAUUUUUUUUUUUGUGCAUUUUCUUAAAGUACACAUAUUUAGAAAUGUGUCUGUAAAUUUCAAAGUUGAUCCGGUGAAAAAUAAAUGAGAUAUACAGAACACUGCAUCGGCGCGUCCCGUGGCUUCAUACAAGGUGGCCAGCCAUAACUGACCCUAACGACAGAUGGCCUUUUCCUAUGAUUUAGAAACGGCAACCACUGCGGAAGAGUUAUUAUAUGGUCCAAGAAUCGAUGACUCUUUGUAACUUGGAAACAAAAUUUCUUCUGAACAAAAAAAAACGAAGUAUACUUGCAGAAUGCUGGUCACCGCAAUUCGCCUUUUUUCUUAAGACGCCACUUCAAUGGCUCAUAUCUCCAAAAGUUUUUGUUAAAAAAAUUUUUUUUUUCUUUUAAAUUACAGCUUUUUACAUGUACUUUUAACUAAUAAAUAGUAUUCUUUAAAAA